UACGGAGGGUGCAAGCGUUGCUCGGAAUUACUGGGCGUAAAGCGACCGCAGGCGGGUACGCAAGUCAGGUGUGAAAGCCCAGGGCUCAACCCUGGAAUUGCAUUUGAAACUGCGUACCUGGAGUACGGGAGAGGGAAGUGGAAUUCCUGGUGUAGAGGUGAAAUUCAUAGAGAUCAGGAGGAACACCGGUGGCGAAAGCGGCUUCCUGGCCCGAUACUGACGCUCAUGGUCGAAAGCGUGGGGAGCAAACAGG
This 253-nucleotide ribosomal RNA is filed under the name uncultured bacterium. Its description in RNAcentral is "partial 16S ribosomal RNA". It matches the Rfam family "Bacterial small subunit ribosomal RNA", at positions 524 to 776 of the family's 1533-position model. The record is from RNAcentral.